GAUGAACGCUAGCUACAGGCUUAACACAUGCAAGUCGAGGGGCAGCAUGAACUUAGCUUGCUAAGUUUGAUGGCGACCGGCGCACGGGUGAGUAACACGUAUCCAACCUUCCGUUUACUCAGGGAUAGCCUUUCGAAAGAAAGAUUAAUACCUGAUAGUAUGGUGAGAUUGCAUGAUAACACCAUUAAAGAUUUAUUGGUAAACGAUGGGGAUGCGUUCCAUUAGGUAGUAGGCGGGGUAACGGCCCACCUAGCCUGCGAUGGAUAGGGGUUCUGAGAGGAAGGUCCCCCACAUUGGAACUGAGACACGGUCCAAACUCCUACGGGAGGCAGCAGUGAGGAAUAUUGGUCAAUGGGCAAGAGCCUGAACCAGCCAAGUAGCGUGAAGGAUGAAGGUCCUACGGAUUGUAAACUUCUUUUAAUACGGGAAUAAAGUUUCCUACGUGUAGGAUUUUGUAUGUACCGUAUGAAUAAGCAUCGGCUAACUCCGUG
Molecule: ribosomal RNA, 491 nt
Filed under: uncultured bacterium
Lineage: Bacteria
Description: bacterial SSU rRNA
Rfam family: Bacterial small subunit ribosomal RNA
Source: RNAcentral